This 215-nucleotide small nuclear RNA is filed under the name Pelobates cultripes (western spadefoot toad). It matches the Rfam family "U2 spliceosomal RNA". From Rfam's summary of the family: U2 is a small nuclear RNA (snRNA) component of the spliceosome (involved in pre-mRNA splicing). Complementary binding between U2 snRNA (in an area lying towards the 5' end but 3' to hairpin I) and the branchpoint sequence (BPS) of the intron results the bulging out of an unpaired adenosine, on the BPS, which initiates a nucleophilic attack at the intronic 5' splice site, thus starting the first of two transesterification reactions that mediate splicing. The record is from RNAcentral. Lineage: Eukaryota; Metazoa; Chordata; Amphibia; Anura; Pelobatidae.
AUUUCAUCUGGAGGAAAGACUCUGUGACUGAGUGGUCAAAAAAAAAAAAAAAAAAAAAAAAAUCUGUUCUUAUCAGUUUAAUAUCUGAUACGUCCCCUAUCUGGGGACCAUAUAUUAAAUGGAUUUUUGGGACAGGGAGAUGGAAGAAGAGCUUGCUCUGUCCACUCCACGCAUUGACCUGGUAUUGCAGUACCUCCAGGACCGGUGCACCUCUC